CCUACGGGAGGCAGCAGUGGGGAAUAUUGCACAAUGGUGGAAACCCUGAUGCAGCGACGCCGCGUGAGUGAAGAAGUAUUUCGGUAUGUAAAGCUCUAUCAGCAGGGAAGAAAAUGACGGUACCUGAUUACGAAGCCCCGGCUAACUACGUGCCAGCAGCCGCGGUAACACGUAGGGGGCAAGCGUUAUCCGGAUUUACUGGGUGUAAAGGGAGCGUAGGCGGCAGCACAAGUCUGGAGGGAAAUGCCGGGGGUUAACCCCGGAACUGCUUUUGAAACUGGGCAGCUAGAGUGGAAGAGAGGUAAGUGGAAUGCGUGGUGUAGCGGUGAAAUGCAUAGAUAUCAGGAAGAACACCGGUGGCGAAGGCGGCUUGCUGGACUGUAACUGACGUUGAGGCUCGAAAGCGUGGGGAGCGAACAGGAUUAGAUACCCGGGUAGUC
This 440-nucleotide ribosomal RNA is filed under the name uncultured bacterium. Its description in RNAcentral is "partial 16S ribosomal RNA". It matches the Rfam family "Bacterial small subunit ribosomal RNA", at positions 338 to 795 of the family's 1533-position model. The record is from RNAcentral.